ACGAAGGGGGCUAGCGUUGUUCGGAAUUACUGGGCGUAAAGCGCACGUAGGCGGGUAUUUAAGUCAGGGGUGAAAUCCCAGAGCUCAACUCUGGAACUGCCUUUGAUACUGGGUACCUAGAGUAUGGAAGAGGUGAGUGGAAUUCCGAGUGUAGAGGUGAAAUUCGUAGAUAUUCGGAGGAACACCAGUGGCGAAGGCGGCUCACUGGCCCGAUACUGACGCUGAGGUGCGAAAGCGUGGGGAUCAAACAGGA
RNAcentral lists this ribosomal RNA (253 nucleotides) under uncultured prokaryote. RNAcentral describes it as "partial 16S ribosomal RNA". It matches the Rfam family "Bacterial small subunit ribosomal RNA", at positions 525 to 777 of the family's 1533-position model. The record is from RNAcentral.